RNAcentral lists this ribosomal RNA (253 nucleotides) under uncultured bacterium. RNAcentral's name for it is "partial 16S ribosomal RNA". It matches the Rfam family "Bacterial small subunit ribosomal RNA", at positions 524 to 776 of the family's 1533-position model. The record is from RNAcentral.
UACAGAGGUCCCAAGCGUUGUUCGGAUUCAUUGGGCGUAAAGGGUGCGUAGGCGGCGCGGUAAGUCGGGUGUGAAAUCUCGGAGCUUAACUCCGAAACUGCAUUCGAUACUGCCGUGCUUGAGGACUGGAGAGGAGACUGGAAUUUACGGUGUAGCGGUGAAAUGCGUAGAGAUGGGGGAGAACACUCGUGGCGAAGGCGGCCAGCUAGACCAGUUCUGACACUGAGGCGCGAUAGCGUGGGGAGCAAACAGG